UACGUAGGGUGCAAGCGUUGUCCGGAUUUAUUGGGUUUAAAGGGUGCGUAGGCGGCCCUGUAAGUCAGUGGUGAAAUUCUUGAGCUUAACUGAAGGAUUGCCAUUGAUACUGUAGGGCUUGAGUACAGAUGAGGUAGGCGGAAUUGAUGGUGUAGCGGUGAAAUGCAUAGAUACCAUCAAGAACACCGAUUGCGAAGGCAGCUUACUAAGCUGUAACUGACGCUGAUGCACGAAAGCGUGGGGAUCGAACAGG
RNAcentral lists this ribosomal RNA (253 nucleotides) under uncultured bacterium. RNAcentral's name for it is "partial 16S ribosomal RNA". It matches the Rfam family "Bacterial small subunit ribosomal RNA", at positions 524 to 776 of the family's 1533-position model. The record is from RNAcentral.